UGAACGCUGUCGGCGUGCCUACUACAUGCACGUCGAGCGAACAGACGAGGAGCUUGCUCCUCUGACGUUAGCGGCGGACGGGUGAGUAACACGUGGAUAACCUACCUAUAAGACUGGGAUAACUUCGGGAAACCGGAGCUAAUACCGGAUAAUAUAUUGAACCGCAUGGUUCAAUAUUGAAAGACGGUUUUGCUGUCACUUAUAGAUGGAUCCGCGCCGCAUUAGCUAGUUGGUAAGGUAACGGCUUACCAAGGCAACGAUGCGUAGCCGACCUGAGAGGGUGAUCGGCCACACUGGAACUGAGACACGGUCCAGACUCCUACGGGAGGCAGCAGUAGGGAAUCUUCCGCAAUGGGCGAAAGCCUGACGGAGCAACGCCGCGUGAGUGAUGAAGGUCUUCGGAUCGUAAAACUCUGUUAUUAGGGAAGAACAAAUGUGUAAGUAACUAUGCACGUCUUGACGGUACCUAAUCAGAAAGCCACGGCUAACUACGUG
RNAcentral lists this ribosomal RNA (495 nucleotides) under uncultured bacterium. RNAcentral's name for it is "partial 16S ribosomal RNA". It matches the Rfam family "Bacterial small subunit ribosomal RNA", at positions 30 to 507 of the family's 1533-position model. The record is from RNAcentral.